AAAACAAAACAAAAAAAAAAAAACAACACCUUGACACAACUGGGUAAUCCCUAAAUCCUGGACUGGUAGGCGUGUCUUGAGAACUGGUUUGGAAACCAUUGCACUAAAGAAACAGGUUACGUUAAUUAAAUGUGUGUUGAAUGGGCUAAUCGGCAGCAAUCCAUGGGAUAAUCUCCUGAUAUGAUAUAAUGUUGCAAUGUAG
Non-coding RNA from Pelobates cultripes (western spadefoot toad), 202 nucleotides. NCBI's taxonomy places the organism in Eukaryota, Metazoa, Chordata, Amphibia, Anura, Pelobatidae. The record is from the annotation of a GenBank genome assembly.